AGAGAGCCUUAUCCACCCCCCUUUGAAAAACAACCUUUUGAUGACUCCUUCUUCAAUAGCCUCAAAUAGCUCUCUUCAGACAUGUACUUUUCCAUCAGAGCCAAACAAGCCAAGGUUUCCCCCCGUAUUAACAGAGAAUCAGAUUCAUCAAAGUCCAAUGGCAAGAUUGAGGUCUAAAGUGAUGGUCCAGGAUGCAGAGGAUAAUCUUGACAUCGUUUAUGUUUGAUCAAGCUCUAAGUGUUCCCAUAAUACCUGCUUCAGUUAUCUUCAUGAUCACUAGAAUAAAAUGUUCUCAUCUGCCUAUUCCUCUAGGGGAAAUCUUCAUAUGCUUGAGGUAGACAUACUCCUAAAUUCACUGCCAUCAUGGGUUCAAGGUUUUUGAGAUAUCUUAACCUGGUUUAUCCCACGUGCCAAGAAGAACUUACUGGAGUGUGAUCUCUGUACAUGCUACAACUUCUUAGAGCCACAGAAGAGACGUGAGUGCCAGAUGGACCCCAGAUAUGGAUGAGCAUUGCUGAAAAUUCAACAAGCCCUCACAUUACAGGCACUAGUCCUCCUUGAAUACCCCACAUACCCCAUAUAUUAAAUAUAUACAAUAUAAAUGUAUAUACAUAAACGUAUAUAUUUCUUUUCCAUUUUAAUGAAAAUCUUUC
Molecule: long non-coding RNA, 653 nt
Organism: Sarcophilus harrisii (Tasmanian devil)
Lineage: Eukaryota; Metazoa; Chordata; Mammalia; Dasyuromorphia; Dasyuridae
Source: Ensembl